RNAcentral lists this ribosomal RNA (497 nucleotides) under uncultured Bacillota bacterium. RNAcentral's name for it is "bacterial SSU rRNA". It matches the Rfam family "Bacterial small subunit ribosomal RNA", at positions 407 to 896 of the family's 1533-position model. The record is from RNAcentral. Lineage: Bacteria; Bacillati; Bacillota.
GAUGACGGCCUUCGGGUUGUAAAACUCUGUCUUCUGUGAAGAGCAAGCCUGUGAGUGGAAAGCUCAGGCCCUGACGGUAACAGAGGAGGAAGCCCCGGCUAACUACGUGCUAGCAGCCGCGGUAAUACGUAGGGGGCAAGCGUUGUCCGGAAUCACUGGGCGUAAAGCGCGCGCAGGCGGCCAUCUGCGUCCGGGGUGAAAGCCCAGAGCUCAACUCUGGGAUUGCCUUGGAUACGGGGUGGCUUGAGGAUCGGAGAGGCAAGGGGAAUUCCACGUGUAGCGGUGAAAUGCGUAGAGAUGUGGAGGAACACCUGUGGCGAAGGCGCCUUGCUGGCCGAUUUCUGACGCUGAGGCGCGAAAGCGUGGGGAGCAAACAGGAUUAGAUACCCUGGUAGUCCACGCCGUAAACGAUGAGUGCUAGGUGUUGGGGGGUACCACCCUCAGUGCCGAAGCUAACGCAUUAAGCACUCCGCCUGGGGAGUACGGUCGCAAGACUG